Molecule: small RNA, 1386 nt
Filed under: Pan troglodytes (chimpanzee)
Lineage: Eukaryota; Metazoa; Chordata; Mammalia; Primates; Hominidae
Description: retained intron
Source: RNAcentral
UGAGUCCUCAAAGGAGAAGACUGGCGAGCAGACGAGCCUGGCCACCCAGUGGCUCCACCGCCCUGAUGGAUCCACUGAAUCUGUCCUGGUAUGAUGAUGAUCUGGAGAGGCAGAACUGGAGCCGGCCCUUCAACGGGUCAGACGGGAAGGCGGACAGACCCCACUACAACUACUAUGCCACACUGCUCACCCUGCUCAUCGCUGUCAUUGUCUUCGGCAACGUGCUGGUGUGCAUGGCUGUGUCCCGCGAGAAGGCGCUGCAGACCACCACCAACUACCUGAUCGUCAGCCUCGCAGUGGCCGACCUCCUCGUCGCCACACUGGUCAUGCCCUGGGUUGUCUACCUGGAGGUGGUAGGUGAGUGGAAAUUCAGCAGGAUUCACUGUGACAUCUUCGUCACUCUGGACGUCAUGAUGUGCACGGCGAGCAUCCUGAACUUGUGUGCCAUCAGCAUCGACAGGUACACAGCUGUGGCCAUGCCCAUGCUGUACAAUACGCGCUACAGCUCCAAGCGCCGGGUCACCGUCAUGAUCUCCAUCGUCUGGGUCCUGUCCUUCACCAUCUCCUGCCCACUCCUCUUCGGACUCAAUAACGCAGACCAGAACGAGUGCAUCAUUGCCAACCCGGCCUUCGUGGUCUACUCCUCCAUCGUCUCCUUCUACGUGCCCUUCAUUGUCACCCUGCUGGUCUACAUCAAGAUCUACAUUGUCCUCCGCAGACGCCGCAAGCGAGUCAACACCAAACGCAGCAGCCGAGCUUUCAGGGCCCACCUGAGGGCUCCACUAAAGGGCAACUGUACUCACCCCGAGGACAUGAAACUCUGCACCGUUAUCAUGAAGUCUAAUGGGAGUUUCCCAGUGAACAGGCGGAGAGUGGUAAGUGCUCAGGCCAGGGACCCAGAGCCAGGUCUUUCUGCCCCUAGGGAAGCCCACUGGCCAUGGUUCUGAGACCUCAGAAGCUGGCCAAUGGGAGAAGCACCCCAGAAACCCCCACCUUGCCUCAGCUGAAGGCAGACUCACUGUGCACACCUCCAAGCAGGCAUGAAGUGAGACACCUCGGUUCUGCAAGGCAUGGAUGUGUACGAGAAAAUGGUUGGCCAUACCAACGUAAUAAAAAUGAUAAUAAUGGCUAUUCACAUUUCUCAAACAUCUACCAUAUCCCUAUUAUCUCAUCAAAUCCUCACCACGACCCCGGGAGGUAAGUCUCUUUGAUCGAACCGAUCUUCAGUUGACAGAAGCGGAAACAGGCUCAGAGAGAUUAGGCAACUCACGCGUCUCAAGAGUUGGUGACACUAAGCCCAGACCUGUGUGACUCUGAAAUCCACACCUGUGUUCUUUCCACUGACAUGAGCUGCCUUAUGGAUGGGCAGGUUCUGGGGUAGGAUGG